RNAcentral lists this ribosomal RNA (537 nucleotides) under uncultured bacterium. Its description in RNAcentral is "partial 16S ribosomal RNA". It matches the Rfam family "Bacterial small subunit ribosomal RNA", at positions 28 to 523 of the family's 1533-position model. The record is from RNAcentral.
GACGAACGCUGGCGGCGUGCCUAAUACAUGCAAGUCGAACGAACUCUGGUUUUUGAUUGACGGUGCUUGCACCUGAUUGAUUAAACAUUUGAGUGAGUGGCGAACUGGUGAGUAACACGUAGGAAACCUGCCCAGAAGCGGGGGAUAACACCUGGAGACAGAUGCUAAUACCGCAUAACAACUUGAACCGCAUGGUUCGAGCUUGAAAGAUGGCUCUGCUAUCACUUCUGGAUGGUCCUGCGGCGUAUUAGCUAGAUGGUGAGGUAACGGCUCACCAGGGGAAUGAUACGUAGCCGACCUGAGAGGGUAAUCAGCCACAUUGGGAAUGAGACACGGCCCAAACUCCUACGGGAGGCAGCAGUAGGGAAUCUUCCACAAUGGACGAAAGUCUGAUGGAGCAACGCCGCGUGAGUGAAGAAGGGUUUCGGCUCGUAAAACUCUGUUGUUAGAGAAGAACAUAUCUGAGAGUAACUGUUCAGGUAUUGACGGUAUCUAACCAGAAAGCCACGGCUAACUACGUGCCAGCAGCCGCGGUAA